UGAGUUUGAUCCUGGCUCAGAUUGAACGCUGGCGGCAUGCCUUACACAUGCAAGUCGAACGGCAGCGCGGGGCAACCUGGCGGCGAGUGGCGAACGGGUGAGUAAUAUAUCGGAACAUACCCUGGAGUGGGGGAUAACGUAGCGAAAGUUACGCUAAUACCGCAUACGCACUAAGGUGGAAAGCGGGGGAUCGCAAGACCUCGUGCUCAUGGAGUGGCCGAUAUCUGAUUAGCUAGUUGGUAGGGUAAAAGCCUACCAAGGCGACGAUCAGUAGCUGGUUUGAGAGAACGACCAGCCACACUGGAACUGAGACACGGUCCAGACUCCUACGGGAGGCAGCAGUGGGGAAUUUUGGACAAUGGGGGCAACCCUGAUCCAGCAAUGCCGCGUGAGUGAAGAAGGCCCUCGGGUUGUAAAGCUCUUUUGUCAGGGAAGAAACGGUGGUUCCUAAUACGGACUGCUAAUGACGGUACCUGAAGAAUAAGCACCGGCUAAUUACGUGCCAGCAGCCGCGGUAAUACGUAGGGUGCAAGCGUUAAUCGGAAUUACUGGGCGUAAAGCGUGCGCAGGCGGUUUUAUAAGUCUGAUGUGAAAUCCCCGGGCUCAACCUGGGAACUGCAUUGGAGACUGUAAGGCUAGAGUGUGUCAGAGGGGGGUAGAAUUCCACGUGUAGCAGUGAAAUGCGUAGAUAUGUGGAGGAAUACCGAUGGCGAAGGCAGCCCCCUGGGAUAACACUGACGCUCAUGCACGAAAGCGUGGGGAGCAAAACAGGAUUAGAUACCCUGGUAGACCACGCCCUAAACGAUGUCUACUAGUUGUCGGGUCUUAAUUGACUUGGUAACGCAGCUAACGCGUGAAGUAGACCGCCUGGGGAGUACGGUCGCAAGAUUAAAACUCAAAGGAAUUGACGGGGACCCGCACAAGCGGUGGAUGAUGUGGAUUAAUUCGAUGCAACGCGAAAAACCUUACCUACCCUUGACAUGGAAGGAACCCCGAAGAGAUUUGGGGGUGCUCGAAAGAGAACCUUUACACGAAUGCUGC
This 1041-nucleotide ribosomal RNA is filed under the name uncultured bacterium. RNAcentral's name for it is "bacterial SSU rRNA". It matches the Rfam family "Bacterial small subunit ribosomal RNA", at positions 1 to 1044 of the family's 1533-position model. The record is from RNAcentral.